Molecule: ribosomal RNA, 253 nt
Filed under: uncultured bacterium
Lineage: Bacteria
Description: partial 16S ribosomal RNA
Rfam family: Bacterial small subunit ribosomal RNA
Source: RNAcentral
UACGUAGGGGGCAAGCGUUGUCCGGAAUCAUUGGGCGUAAAGAGCGUGUAGGCGGCCCGAUAAGUCCGCCGUGAAAGUCCAGGGCUCAACCCUGGGAUGCCGGUGGAAACUGUCGGGCUAGAGUCCGGAAGAGGCGAGUGGAAUUCCUGGUGUAGCGGUGAAAUGCGCAGAUAUCAGGAGGAACACCAGUGGCGAAGGCGACUUCCUGGCCUGUUCUUGACGCUGAGGCGCGAAAGCUAGGGUAGCAAACGGG